GCGGACGUAGCCAAGUGGAUCAAGGCAGUGGAUUGUGAAU
This 40-nucleotide transfer RNA is filed under the name Pandanus amaryllifolius. Its description in RNAcentral is "partial tRNA-His". The record is from RNAcentral. Lineage: Eukaryota; Viridiplantae; Streptophyta; Magnoliopsida; Pandanales; Pandanaceae.